Molecule: ribosomal RNA, 624 nt
Filed under: uncultured bacterium
Lineage: Bacteria
Description: bacterial SSU rRNA
Rfam family: Bacterial small subunit ribosomal RNA
Source: RNAcentral
UUUCGAAAGAAAGAUUAAUACCUGAUGGUAUGAUGAGAUUGCAUGAUAGCAUCAUUAAAGAUUUAUCGGUGUACGAUGGGGAUGCGUUCCAUUAGGUAGUAGGCGGGGUAACGGCCCACCUAGCCAACGAUGGAUAGGGGUUCUGAGAGGAAGGUCCCCCACAUUGGAACUGAGACACGGUCCAAACUCCUACGGGAGGCAGCAGUGAGGAAUAUUGGUCAAUGGACGAGAGUCUGAACCAGCCAAGUAGCGUGAAGGAUGAAGGUCCUACGGAUUGUAAACUUCUUUUAUAAGGGAAUAAACCCUCCCACGUGUGGGAGCUUGUAUGUACCUUAUGAAUAAGCAUCGGCUAACUCCGUGCCAGCAGCCGCGGUAAUACGGAGGAUGCGAGCGUUAUCCGGAUUUAUUGGGUUUAAAGGGAGCGCAGACGGGUCGUUAAGUCAGCUGUGAAAGUUUGGGGCUCAACCUUAAAAUUGCAGUUGAUACUGGCGUCCUUGAGUGCGGUUGAGGUGUGCGGAAUUCGUGGUGUAGCGGUGAAAUGCUUAGAUAUCACGAAGAACUCCGAUUGCGAAGGCAGCACACUAAUCCGUAACUGACGUUCAUGCUCGAAAGUGUGGGUAUCAA